GGCCAGACUCCUACGGGAGGCAGCAGUGGGGGAUAUUGCACAAUGGGGGGAACCCUGAUGCAGCGACGCCGCGUGGGUGAAGAAGCGCCUCGGCGCGUAAAGCCCUGUCAGCAGGGAAGAAAAUGACGGUACCUGAAGAAGAAGCCCCGGCUAACUACGUGCCAGCAGCCGCGGUAAUACGUAGGGGGCAAGCGUUAUCCGGAUUUACUGGGUGUAAAGGGGGCGCAGACGGCGAUGCAAGCCAGGAGUGAAAGCCCGGGGCCCAACCCCGGGACUGCUCUUGGAACUGCGUGGCUGGAGUGCAGGAGGGGCAGGCGGAAUUCCUGGUGUAGCGGUGAAAUGCGUAGAUAUCAGGAGGAACACCGGUGGCGAAGGCGGAUGACUGGACGGCAACUGACGGUGAGGCGCGAAAGCGUGGGGAGCAAACAGGAUUAGAUACCCCCGUAAUA
This 449-nucleotide ribosomal RNA is filed under the name uncultured bacterium. RNAcentral describes it as "bacterial SSU rRNA". It matches the Rfam family "Bacterial small subunit ribosomal RNA", at positions 329 to 795 of the family's 1533-position model. The record is from RNAcentral.